AUUUAGUUGACGAGUCUCAAAUAGGACGAAACGUACGUCCUGAAU
This 45-nucleotide non-coding RNA is filed under the name Schistosoma haematobium. The record is from RNAcentral. Lineage: Eukaryota; Metazoa; Platyhelminthes; Trematoda; Strigeidida; Schistosomatidae.